GACGAACGCUGGCGGCGUGCCUAAUACAUGCAAGUUGAGCGAUGAAGAUUGGUGCUUGCACCAAUUUGAAGAGCAGCGAACGGGUGAGUAACGCGUGGGGAAUCUGCCUUUGAGCGGGGGACAACAUUUGGAAACGAAUGCUAAUACCGCAUAACAACUUUAAACAUAAGUUUUAAGUUUGAAAGAUGCAAUUGCAUCACUCAAAGAUGAUCCCGCGUUGUAUUAGCUAGUUGGUGAGGUAAAGGCUCACCAAGGCGAUGAUACAUAGCCGACCUGAGAGGGUGAUCGGCCACAUUAGGACUGAGACACGGCCCAAACUCCUACGGGAGGCAGCAGUAGGGAAUCUUCGGCAAUGGACGAAAGUCUGACCGAGCAACGCCGCGUGAGUGAAGAAGGUUUUCGGAUCGUAAAACUCUGUUGGUAGAGAAGAACGUUGGUGAGAGUGGAAAGCUCAUCAAGUGACGGUAACUACCCAGAAAGGGACGGCUAACUACGUG
This 497-nucleotide ribosomal RNA is filed under the name uncultured bacterium. Its description in RNAcentral is "partial 16S ribosomal RNA". It matches the Rfam family "Bacterial small subunit ribosomal RNA", at positions 28 to 507 of the family's 1533-position model. The record is from RNAcentral.